RNAcentral lists this transfer RNA (76 nucleotides) under Parcubacteria group bacterium. RNAcentral describes it as "tRNA-Val". It matches the Rfam family "tRNA". From Rfam's summary of the family: Transfer RNA (tRNA) molecules are approximately 80 nucleotides in length. Their secondary structure includes four short double-helical elements and three loops (D, anti-codon, and T loops). Further hydrogen bonds mediate the characteristic L-shaped molecular structure. tRNAs have two regions of fundamental functional importance: the anti-codon, which is responsible for specific mRNA codon recognition, and the 3' end, to which the tRNAs corresponding amino acid is attached (by aminoacyl-tRNA synthetases). tRNAs cope with the degeneracy of the genetic code in two manners: having more than one tRNA (with a specific anti-codon) for a particular amino acid; and 'wobble' base-pairing, i.e. permitting non-standard base-pairing at the 3rd anti-codon position. RNAcentral also lists the same sequence under 1 other name. The record is from RNAcentral.
GGGCACUUGGCGCAGUUGGUAGCGCGACUGUUUUACACACAGUAGGUCGGGGGUUCGAAUCCCUCAGUGCCCACCA